AGCGUAGACGGAGUGGCAAGUCUGAUGUGAAAACCCGGGGCUCAACCCCGGAACUGCAUUGGAAACUGUCAAUCUAGAGUACCGGAGAGGUAAGCGGAAUUCCUAGUGUAGCGGUGAAAUGCGUAGAUAUUAGGAGGAACACCAGUGGCGAAGGCGGCUUACUGGACGGUAACUGACGUUGAGGCUCGAAAGCGUGGGGAGCAACA
Molecule: ribosomal RNA, 206 nt
Filed under: uncultured bacterium
Lineage: Bacteria
Description: partial 16S ribosomal RNA
Rfam family: Bacterial small subunit ribosomal RNA
Source: RNAcentral